GUGCCAGCAGCCGCGGUAAUACGUAGGAGGCGAGCGUUGUCCGGAUUUACUGGGCGUAAAGCGCGCGCAGGCGGCAUACCAAGUACAACGUGAAAUCUCCCUGCUCAACGGGGAGGGAGCGUAGUAAACUGGUAAGCUAGAGGACGGUAGAGGGGGGUAGAAUUGCUGGUGUAGCGGUGAAAUGCGUAGAGAUCAGCAGGAAUACCCGUGGCGAAGGCGGCCCCCUGGGCCGAACCUGACGCUGAGGCGCGAAGGCUAGGGGAGCGAACGGGAUUAGAUACCCCGGUAGUCC
Molecule: ribosomal RNA, 292 nt
Filed under: uncultured bacterium
Lineage: Bacteria
Description: partial 16S ribosomal RNA
Rfam family: Bacterial small subunit ribosomal RNA
Source: RNAcentral